UCCUACGGGAGGCAGCAGUAGGGAAUAUUGGUCAAUGGGCGGAAGCCUGAACCAGCCAAGUCGCGUGAGGGAUUAAGGCCCUGCGGGUCGUAAACCUCUUUUGCCGGGGAGCAGAGGUCCGGACGUGUCCGGGCCGGGAGAGUACCCGGAGAAAAAGCAUCGGCUAACUCCGUGCCAGCAGCCGCGGUAAUACGUAUGGUGCAAGCGUUAUCCGGAUUUACUGGGUGUAAAGGGAGCGCAGGCGGUGCGGCAAGUCUGAUGUGAAAGCCCGGGGCUCAACCCCGGGACUGCAUUGGCAACUACCG
RNAcentral lists this ribosomal RNA (305 nucleotides) under uncultured bacterium. RNAcentral's name for it is "bacterial SSU rRNA". It matches the Rfam family "Bacterial small subunit ribosomal RNA", at positions 337 to 638 of the family's 1533-position model. The record is from RNAcentral.